CAAAAACAAAAUAAUGGCCUUCAAAACGAAGAACUAUGGUUUAGAAAUGAAGCAUUUGCCCAACCAAAGCAGUUCAAGUAUCAUGGUUCAAACUUAAUGUAUCCACCGUUAGAAUGUGCCGCACUAAUAAGAAACAACCAUCUCUCAACUUUUUCAGUUUCAACUUGCAAACACAAAGGAAAAUAAGAGACCAAACCUGAAGGAUUAGUCUUCUUAUGCCUGUGAAGCCAGUCCUUUCCACAACAUUCUUUCUCCUCAGAAACACACAAAGACGCCAUACUGUCCACUCUUUACCUUCCUGUUCUAUCUUAAUGUUUUUGGCAAAAUGGAAAGAUGAAAUCAUGACACCAAGUACACAAAAGUGAUCAAGUAUCCAAAUCAUUAUUAGCACAUCAACCCACUAAAUAUGUACAAAUCCAGUAAAUUAGAGAAACUAGGGCUGGGGUGUGGCUCAGUGGUAGGGUACUUGGCUAAUGUGAGAGGCCCCAAAUUCCAGCCCCAGCAUAGGGCAGGGGGUAGGGACGCACCAUUACUCUGUGAGACAAGUCACUUCCCUUUGCUCCAUUUAAGAGACUUCUUCUGUUUUGUAUCUUGACAUAGUUAUGAGAUACCUUUCAUAACCUGGACAAUUGCAACAAUAAAGAUUCAGGCAAGAGUUCUUAAAAAAAUAAAUUUAGGAGAAGCCAACACUUUAAACACUCAUAAAAAAAAAAAAGGAUGUUUUGAAUUUAAAUGAUUUUAUAGUAUUACCAUAAUUGUAAAAGAGCUGCUUUUCAAAAGAUAUAUAUAGGGGCUGUGGUUGUAGCUCAGUGUUAGAGUGCUUGCCUAGCAUGAGAAAGGCACUGGGUUCAAUCCUCAGCACUGCAUAUAAAUAAGUAAUUAGGGACAGGGUUGUGGCUCAGUGGUACAGCACUUGCCUAGCAUGCGUGAGGCACUGGGUUUGAUCCCCUGCACCACAUAAAAAUAAACAAAUAAAAUAAAG
RNAcentral lists this long non-coding RNA (982 nucleotides) under Marmota monax (woodchuck). The record is from RNAcentral. Lineage: Eukaryota; Metazoa; Chordata; Mammalia; Rodentia; Sciuridae.